UGCAUCAUCAUCGACAUCACCAGCAAAGUGCUGAAAGUGAUGGCAGUAUGUAAAUACGGCAUCUGCGUACACUCGCGGAUGACUCAUGUGGCGUUUGCACAUACAAAUUUGCAGUCAUUUCGUGAUUUAUGGUGCAGAAAUACGCUUCUGAUAACCAGGUAAUGUUUAGCAUGAGUGUGAAAAUAAACAAGUAUUUGUACAAGCUGAUUUUGGAGCAUGGAGAGAGCCCCAACCAGUCACGAAAACAGGAGUACAGCGCCAUACUUUGUGGAACACCAUCCUGCAAAGCAGUACGAAUUUAGAAUUUCAGUGACAGCAACGAAAGGGGUCUGCUUUGCCUGCAAAUGCCAUUUGAUCAAAGGAAAAAUACACCAGUUACUUGAGCACUUACUAGGUACCUGCACAAAUCUCCUUGCAGUGCGUUUAACCCUUUUAGACGCUUUGUACACAAUUGUGUACAUCACUUGUUUUUGCUAGUUGUGUCAACUAGGGGCUAAAAAAGUGCAAGAUACAAUGAAGUUCAGAUGAAAUAAUCAACCUCCUCCCUAAUAAACAUGUCUUCAGUUUUCACACU
RNAcentral lists this unclassified non-coding RNA (574 nucleotides) under Rhipicephalus microplus (southern cattle tick). Its description in RNAcentral is "uncharacterized LOC119167747, transcript variant X2". The record is from RNAcentral. Lineage: Eukaryota; Metazoa; Arthropoda; Arachnida; Ixodida; Ixodidae.